Molecule: ribosomal RNA, 576 nt
Filed under: uncultured Bacteroidota bacterium
Lineage: Bacteria; Pseudomonadati; Bacteroidota
Description: bacterial SSU rRNA
Rfam family: Bacterial small subunit ribosomal RNA
Source: RNAcentral
CCUACGGGAGGCAGCAGUGAGGAAUAUUGGACAAUGGGCGCAAGCCUGAUCCAGCCAUGCCGCGUGCAGGAAGACGGUCCUAUGGAUUGUAAACUGCUUUUAUACAGGAAGAAACACUCCCUCGUGAGGGAGCUUGACGGUACUGUAGGAAUAAGGAUCGGCUAACUCCGUGCCAGCAGCCGCGGUAAUACGGAGGAUCCAAGCGUUAUCCGGAAUCAUUGGGUUUAAAGGGUCCGUAGGCGGCUUAAUAAGUCAGUGGUGAAAGCCCUACGCUUAACGUAGGAACGGCCAUUGAUACUGUUAGGCUUGAAUUAUUAGGAAGUAACUAGAAUAUGUAGUGUAGCGGUGAAAUGCUUAGAGAUUACAUGGAAUACCAAUUGCGAAGGCAGGUUACUACUAAUGGACUGACGCUGAUGGACGAAAGCGUGGGUAGCGAACAGGAUUAGAUACCCUGGUAGUCCACGCCGUAAACGAUGGAUACUAGCUGUUGGGCGCAAGUUCAGUGGCUAAGCGAAAGUGAUAAGUAUCCCACCUGGGGAGUACGUUCGCAAGAAUGAAACUCAAAGGAAUUGACGG